ACAGAAUACAAAGCAUUGCAAGCUCAAUGACUGAAGAUUUCAAACCACAGCACACAUCGCGGGACUGACACAACUGAAAGGUGAGAUUAGUUGAAGUCACUUCACAUCAAAGCACUUCAUCAGGAUAUCCUCGGCUGUGCCUGCCUGGCUAUAAUUACAUCUGAAUGAACAACAGGAGACUACUUUGUGAACUCUAAAGGCCAAUUUCAUGUAUUGAAUAUUGCUUUUCUAUUUAUGUGAAAAAUUCUUAAGGUGAUGAAAGCAUUAAACAUAUUUAAUGGUCUCAUGAAGAAAGCAGGGACAUUAAGUAAUUGCCAGUAAGUGUUGGCAUUAAUCCAGAUUUGUGGGGCAUGAAGAAUAGUUCCUACAGAUUAUGAGAAUAUUCUUAUGAUUUAUGUAAUUUGUGAUUAAUUCCUCAAAAAAAAGGCCUUUCUCAACAAGUUAACCAGGACAAUGAACUCCAGAUUAAGUUUACUGAGUUCACGAAUUACUGUUGCAGCCAGGUCAUAACGAAUGAACUGAAUCAUUCUUUUGGUCUUAUAAAUGAUUUUCUGAUUUUACUGAUGACCUUUGCUCUAACUUUGAACUGCUGUGCGAAACUAACAUACCAAUGAAAUAACAUACUGUCCUUACAAUUAUUUCCUCAAAAUAAAAAUCCGUUUGAAAAUG
Molecule: long non-coding RNA, 669 nt
Organism: Amblyraja radiata (thorny skate)
Lineage: Eukaryota; Metazoa; Chordata; Chondrichthyes; Rajiformes; Rajidae
Exons: 2
Source: RefSeq, a predicted model, not a curated record